This 1713-nucleotide long non-coding RNA is filed under the name Homo sapiens (human). RNAcentral's name for it is "HSALNT0066059". The record is from RNAcentral. Lineage: Eukaryota; Metazoa; Chordata; Mammalia; Primates; Hominidae.
AGUGGUCUCUCCUCUUCCCAUACACACCUUACGGAUUCUUCACAGGGUGUGAUGAUGGGAAGCCUAGACACGCUUAUCAGAAGUUUGUCCUCUUAUCGGGAUACGUCAGAAAUUAGAGAGACCCUGGCAAUCACAGCUUCCACCUCCUCAUUUUACAAAUGAGCAACUAGGCUCAGAGUACAGAAGUGGCUUUCCCAGGGUCACACAGCCAGCUUGUGACAGAGUCAGGAUUCAAGUACCAUCUCCUGACUUCUCCAUUGCACCAGACGUCGAUAGAACACAGAGAACCUAAAAGAAGAAAGAAAAAAAAAUAGAGCUUUUGGGAAUAUAUUGGGCUUCUGGUUUUCAAGGACAAUUUUAUGAUAAGUAGCAAUGAUGCCUCAAAAGCUCUGGUAGCUAGCUUGAAUGAACUUAUGUAAUAAACAUUUAUCACAGAACAUGUGUCAUCAAACACCUGCCAGUUCUGAGCGUUGGCACCAAAGCUGCUUUCAUUGUCAAAGAAAAGAGGGGGAAAGGAACUUGGCUGAACAAAGCUGGCAGACGUUUAUACUAGAAAAUUUAGAGGUAAUUUCUAGAGGAACAGAAACACAUUUUCAAAGUCUUAUAAAAUUUAUUUAAAUGUGAUUGGGUGAAUUUAGCAGUUAAAGAAGUGAAGAACACUGAGGUCCAAUUGGUGCCUGAGGCUUCUUCCAGGACCCAGUCUUUUCUGUCUGCCUUGGGCACAGAUUUCUAGAUGCCUGAAGAUGGACAGGCCCAGAGGUUGCCCAGAGUGAUGUCUGAGAUUACUGAUCUCUAUCUAGGCUUCCAUAGAAACACAUCCCAAAACGUUCUUGGUUCUUAUUGGAAUCUCAUCUCAUUUGCAGAACAUGGCCAGAGUCAAAGAGACAUGGACCAUGUGUCACUCAGACUGAGUCCAUCCAUACAAAGAGAAUUCUCUAGCCUGUAUUGGAAGUCAAUCUACAUCAGCAUGACAGGGCAUGUAGCCGAAUACGUGGCCACUUCCCUUUGGCUACCCACACAUUUUUGAACUGCAAGAUCUGUUCUUUAUCUACUCAUCUAAUGGUUAUUACUGGGAGAGCACUGGACUAUAAAUUCUGUUGCACUUGCAGGUGUAAUGAGCUCUUUGAACCUCAGUUUCCUCACCCAUCAGAUACUAUUCAUUAUCUGCCUUGCGGACAACACCUAGUUGUUGGGAACAUUGCAUGAAUGGCAGGUGGAGGUGCUUUGUAAACGCUAAAGCCUGCCAUGAAUGUGAAGGAGUGUUGCUACUCUUCUGUGCCCAACAAUGUGCUAGCACCAAGGGAGUUCAAAAGAAAUGUGAGACAUGGUCCCUACCCUCCAGGAACUUACAACUCAUUGUUGGGAGACCAAGACACAUCCCCUAAAAACAGAUAUGUAACACCUCAAGUCUGUGAAGUACUUACUAUUUAAAUGAUGCCCAGAGCCUCUGAAUCCCCUAGAAGUACAGAGGAGGGGGAGAUCAUUAAUGGUGUGGAGAAGUUGGAGGAGGUGAGACGAUGCCAGGAUGUCAGGAGCAAGGGAGCACCAGUGGUAGAAGAACCUGCCUCCCCUGGCUCCAUCAAAGGCCACAGGCCCAUGAGAAUCACCCGGCCUGCUCUGAGCAGCACACUCGGAGGCCACAGCCACGCACAGGAAAGUGAGAGGAAGUGGAAACGUGCGAGCAGAGGGCUCAAAGCGACGGGCUCACCACCG